AUUGAACGCCGGCGGAAUGCUUUACACAUGCAAGUCGAACGGCAGCACGGACUUCGGUCUGGUGGCGAGUGGCGAACGGGUGAGUAAUGUAUCGGAACGUGCCCAGUCGGGGGGGAUAACGUAGUGAAAAUUACGCUAAUACCGCAUACGAUCUAUGGAUGAAAGCGGGGGAUCGCAAGACCUCGCGCGAUUGGAGCGGCCGAUAUCAGAUUAGGUAGUUGGUGGGGUAAAGGCCCACCAAGCCAACGAUCUGUAGCUGGUCUGAGAGGACGACCAGCCACACUGGAACUGAGACACGGUCCAGACUCCUACGGGAGGCAGCAGUGGGGAAUUUUGGACAAUGGGCGAAAGCCUGAUCCAGCCAUUCCGCGUGCAGGAUGAAGGCCCUCGGGUUGUAAACUGCUUUUGUACAGAACGAAAAGGUUUCUACUAAUACUAGGAGCUCAUGACGGUACUGUAAGAAUAAGCACCGGCUAACUACGUGCCAGCAGCCGCGGUAA
This 500-nucleotide ribosomal RNA is filed under the name uncultured bacterium. RNAcentral's name for it is "partial 16S ribosomal RNA". It matches the Rfam family "Bacterial small subunit ribosomal RNA", at positions 30 to 523 of the family's 1533-position model. The record is from RNAcentral.